This 71-nucleotide transfer RNA is filed under the name Cordylochernes scorpioides. RNAcentral describes it as "tRNA-Gly". Lineage: Eukaryota; Metazoa; Arthropoda; Arachnida; Pseudoscorpiones; Chernetidae. The record is from RNAcentral.
UGCAUCGGCGGGGAAUCGAACCCGGGCCACCCGCCUGGUAGGCGAGCAUUCUACCACUGAACCACAGAUGC